ACAAGUUGAAGAGCUUCUCCAAGAAGCUCACAGCCAAGCUCCAUGGAAAAUCAAAUCCAACUUCAAGCCUUCCAAAAUUAUUUCCUUGGUAUAAAUCAACUAUUUUGAGGUCCCUAAGUAACGUGGAAGCGUGGUUGGAGCGAUCAAGCCAUCAAUUUUGUGGAUUUCAAACCCUAGCCUAAUUGUGGAGUAAAGAAGAAAGACCUUGGGGAGCCCGAGGCGUAGAUUGAGAUUUACUUUAGAUUGGCUAUUUUGGAGUGCGUACAAGGUACAGACGCACAGUUUGGUGAUCCACCGGUUUAGGUCAUCCCCUUUUUGUUGUUGGAGUGCUCUUCUCCUUUCAGAGCAUAUCUUUCGGUAUAUAUUUUGUUCGCUAUGUAUGCAUCUAUUCAUUCAGGGGUACGGCGGGGCCCUGUCCCGCCAUAUGAUUCGUUUGGUCUGUUUAGAGGUCUGUAGACGUAUUCGUGGGUGUGUGUGCCUACCUCUGCUCAAAUGUGUUAGUAUGAGCCUAUUCGUUAUGGCAGCCUCGUCGGCGUGCAUUUUGUAUAUGUUUUGGUUAUGGCAGCCUUGUCGGCGUGCACUUGGUAUAUGUUUUGGGGUCGUCGUGCCAUUUGAUAGCCUUGUCGACUUUUGAUAUAUGUAUACGCCUAUGGUUAUGUUAAAAAUGU
Long non-coding RNA from Lycium barbarum (goji berry), 668 nucleotides. RefSeq lists it as uncharacterized. The record is from RefSeq and is a predicted model, not a curated record. Lineage: Eukaryota; Viridiplantae; Streptophyta; Magnoliopsida; Solanales; Solanaceae. The transcript has 3 exons.